Molecule: ribosomal RNA, 472 nt
Filed under: uncultured bacterium
Lineage: Bacteria
Description: partial 16S ribosomal RNA
Rfam family: Bacterial small subunit ribosomal RNA
Source: RNAcentral
GACGAACGCUGGCGGCGUGCUUAACACAUGCAAGUCGAACGCUGAAGCUUGGUGCUUGCACUGGGUGGAUGAGUGGCGAACGGGUGAGUAAUACGUGAGUAACCUGCCCUUGACUCUGGGAUAAGCCUGGGAAACUGGGUCUAAUACUGGAUACGACAUGCCACUGCAUGGUGGUGUGUGGAAAGGGUUUUACUGGUUUUGGAUGGGCUCACGGCCUAUCAGCUUGUUGGUGGGGUAAUGGCCUACCAAGGCGACGACGGGUAGCCGGCCUGAGAGGGUGACCGGCCACACUGGGACUGAGACACGGCCCAGACUCCUACGGGAGGCAGCAGUGGGGAAUAUUGCACAAUGGGCGGAAGCCUGAUGCAGCGACGCCGCGUGAGGGAUGACGGCCUUUGGGUUGUAAACCUCUUUCAGCACGGAAGAAGCGAGAGUGACGGUACGUGCAGAAGAAGCGCCGGCUAACUACGUG